This 253-nucleotide ribosomal RNA is filed under the name uncultured bacterium. Its description in RNAcentral is "partial 16S ribosomal RNA". It matches the Rfam family "Bacterial small subunit ribosomal RNA", at positions 524 to 776 of the family's 1533-position model. The record is from RNAcentral.
UACAAAGGGGCCAAGCGUUGUUCGGAAUUACUGGGCGUAAAGCGCACGUAGGUGGCUUUAUAAGUCAGGGGUGAAAUCCCGGGGCUCAACCUCGGAAUUGCCUUGGAUACUCUCUAGCUUGAGUCCGGGAGAGGUGAGUGGAAUUCCUGGUGUAGAGGUGAAAUUCGUAGAUAUCAGGAAGAACACCAGUGGCGAAGGCGGGUCACUGGCCCGGUACUGACGCUCAGGUGCGAAAGCGAGGGGAGCAAACAGG